This is a long non-coding RNA of Oryza brachyantha (malo sina), 1366 nucleotides long. RefSeq lists it as uncharacterized. The record is from RefSeq and is a predicted model, not a curated record. Lineage: Eukaryota; Viridiplantae; Streptophyta; Magnoliopsida; Poales; Poaceae. The transcript has 2 exons.
AUUGUGCUUUCUCCUGGAGUCUGUUCAUCUUCUCCGGUUUUCCCUCUCUUCUUGAGGGCCGAUCCAUCCACUAUGCAGAACAGCCGCAACCUUGAUCUGUUUUUGGCGUCCACGACUCACGUCGUUGAGUGGUUCAUGGCGGAUUUAUCGUGGGGUAUGGCUGGGUUGAGUGCAUAUAUAAGAAGAGAUCGUCUCCGUCCUGGGUAAGGGCUGAUUAGCCAAUGGCUCCAGCAUUUUGAUCUUGCUUAGUUGGUGUGUCUUUCGAGUUGCUUUGCUGCAUUCCCCACGCCUCAGCUCAUCGCUCGCCUUGCCGCGUUCGCUGAGUUGGUGUCGUAUCUCCGGGAAAACACGGGAGGAGACCCGAGGCAUAGACGGGCUGUGAUUUUCUCUGGGACAGCGUCCUUGACGCACUUCACCACUGUCGACGAACUUGUUCGUUGCAUCUACAUGUUUUGUGCCUGCAUCUGAUGAGUUCAGCUCUUCGUUUAUGAGAUCAUGCAGUAGUAUAUUAAGUUCUCCAACUUUCUGUUUAGCUCUUGUUCUGGAAGCAGAGAAAUUCUGAGUUAAGAUUUCUUGCUUGUUCAGCUAUCCACCUAAUUCACUAUUAUGUUUUUGGUUCAGAGCAAUCGUGUGAAAAUUGCUUUCUGUCCUAUUGUCUAGUAAUCUGAAUUAGUUGUUUUUUGUCAGUCGAUAUAUACUGACAUGUUUUGCUGAUGUUUGAGGAUUAAAUGAGUGCCUAGGAGGAGCUUCUGUAUGUAACUCAAUUUCAGCGAGCAAAAUAUUGUUCUGUUUUGUUCAGCUUAUAUCAGGAGUGAUCUCUCUUUAAUUCAGUUUUCAUCUUUAGCCUAAUCUUUGUGCUUUGCUCCCAACAGUUAGUAAGUUAGUACAACUUAGCACUGUCUAGAUUCAUAUAUUCAUAUAGAUGAUAAUAAAUUUAGACAUAUAUACAAACAAUAUAUACUGAUCCAUAGAUUAAUCUAAGAAUGUGAUUGAUGCUAUCAUACGCAAAAUAAGCUUAGUUAGGAUUUAAAUGACAAUGACAUCAAUGGUCUGCAGCAAACUCCACUUUUGUAUAAUUCUUCGCUGGCCCAAAUAUAGAAAAGAUACAUGUCCACUGUAUAUUUAUGCUACUUUAUUUGUUGUGCACAAAAAUAUUUUGUUUUCCAUAUAGUCUUUCCAGUUAUGUAUGCUUGUUGACUACUGUAUCAUCUUGAAGUACCAAAUCAAUCAGUAGACACUGCUAUUACAGAGCAUCAGAGUUUGUUGAGAACAUGCUCAAAUGUGUACAAUCCGAGAGAACUUAUUACGUAAAUUAUAUUAUUUUUUGAUCAAUGUGAUAUUUGUGCUUAUGUUUUGAUUGAUGAAA